RNAcentral lists this ribosomal RNA (266 nucleotides) under uncultured bacterium. RNAcentral describes it as "partial 16S ribosomal RNA". It matches the Rfam family "Bacterial small subunit ribosomal RNA", at positions 1053 to 1319 of the family's 1533-position model. The record is from RNAcentral.
CGUCAGCUCGUGCCGUGAGGUGUCGGGUUAAGUCCCAUAACGAGCGCAACCCUUACUGUUAGUUGCCAGCGGGUAAUGCCGGGGACUCUAGCGGGACUGCCACCGUAAGGUGAGAGGAAGGUGGGGAUGACGUCAAAUCAGCACGGCCCUUAUGUCCAGGGCUACACACGUGUUACAAUGGCCGGUACAAAGGGCAGCUACACCGCGAGGUGAUGCUAAUCUCCAAAGCCGGUCCCAGUUCGGAUCGAAGUCUGCAACCCGACUUC